AACAUCAAACGGAAAGAGAUGUGUAAGAUCCCUCACCUUGCUAUCCUGCAAAGUGACGAGUCGAGGACGGUCCUUGUGAGCCUCUCCUACAAGAAAAGAAACAUAGUAUUGUUAAGCAAAUAGAUAUCCUAGUUUUCUAAUUUCUGAAAAAAAUCCUACCACCUCUCUAGACAUCCUACCACCUCUCUAUUCUUUUCAACAUUUUCUAAUUUCUAAUUUCAUUCUUCACUAAUUACU
RNAcentral lists this long non-coding RNA (237 nucleotides) under Setaria italica (foxtail millet). RNAcentral's name for it is "long non-coding RNA (SITA_LNC006073)". The record is from RNAcentral. Lineage: Eukaryota; Viridiplantae; Streptophyta; Magnoliopsida; Poales; Poaceae.